CCCCCGGUAGCCCAAUCGGCAGAGGCAACCGCCUCAAAAGCGGCUGAGUGUGGGUUCAAAUCCCACCUGGGGGACCA
This 77-nucleotide transfer RNA is filed under the name Calidithermus terrae. RNAcentral describes it as "Meiothermus terrae tRNA-Leu". It matches the Rfam family "tRNA". From Rfam's summary of the family: Transfer RNA (tRNA) molecules are approximately 80 nucleotides in length. Their secondary structure includes four short double-helical elements and three loops (D, anti-codon, and T loops). The record is from RNAcentral. RNAcentral also lists the same sequence under 1 other name. Lineage: Bacteria; Thermotogati; Deinococcota; Deinococci; Thermales; Thermaceae.